AGAGUUUGAUCCUGGCUCAGGACGAACGCUGGCGGCGUGCCUAAUACAUGCAAGUCGAGCGAACAGAUGGGAGCUUGCUCCCUGAUGUUAGCGGCGGACGGGUGAGUAACACGUGGGUAACCUGCCUGUAAGACUGGGAUAACUCCGGGAAACCGGGGCUAAUACCGGAUGGUUGUUUGAACCGCAUGGUUCAAACAUAAAAGGUGGCUUCGGCUACCACUUACAGAUGGACCCUCGGGUCAUCGGCCACGCUGGUGAAGUAAUGGCUCACCAAGGCAACGAUGCCUAGCCGACGCGAGGCAGCAGUAGGGAAUCUUCCGCAAUGGACGGAAGACGGACGGAGCAACGCCGCGUGAGUGAUGGAGGUUUUCCGGAUCGUAAAGCUCUGUUGUUAGGGAAGAACAAGUACCGUUCGAAUUAGGGCGGUUCCUUGACGGUACCUAACCAGAAAGCCACGGCUAACUACGUGCCAGCAGCCGCGGUAAUACGUAGGUGGCAAGCGUUGUCCGGAAUUAUUGGGCGUAAAGGGCUCGCAGGCGGUUUCUUAAGUCUGAUGUGAAAGCCCCCGGCUCAACCGGGGAGGGUCAUUGGAAACUGGGGAACUUGAGUGCAGAAGAGGAGAGUGGAAUUCCACGUGUAGCGGUGAAAUGCGUAGAGAUGUGGAGGAACACCAGUGGCGAAGGCGACUCUCUGGUCUGUAACUGACGCUGAGGAGCGAAAGCGUGGGGAGCGAACAGGAUUAGAUACCCUGGUAGUCCACGCCGUAAACGAUGAGUGCUAAGUGUUAGGGGGUUUCCGCCCCUUAGUGCUGCAGCUAACGCAUUAAGCACUCCGCCUGGGGAGUACGGUCGCAAGACUGAAAAUCAAAGGAAUUAAGGGGGGCCCGCACAAGCGGUGGAGCAUGUAGUUUAAUUCGAAGCAACGCGAA
RNAcentral lists this ribosomal RNA (928 nucleotides) under Bacillus subtilis PS216. RNAcentral's name for it is "bacterial SSU rRNA". It matches the Rfam family "Bacterial small subunit ribosomal RNA", at positions 8 to 965 of the family's 1533-position model. The record is from RNAcentral. Lineage: Bacteria; Bacillati; Bacillota; Bacilli; Caryophanales; Bacillaceae.